This 492-nucleotide ribosomal RNA is filed under the name uncultured bacterium. Its description in RNAcentral is "partial 16S ribosomal RNA". It matches the Rfam family "Bacterial small subunit ribosomal RNA", at positions 29 to 507 of the family's 1533-position model. The record is from RNAcentral.
AGUGAACGCUGGCGGUAUGCCUAACACAUGCAAGUCGAACGGCAGCACAGUAAGAUCUUGCUCUUACGGGUGGCGAGUGGCGGACGGGUGAGGAAUACAUCGGAAUCUACUUUUUCGUGGGGGAUAACGUAGGGAAACUUACGCUAAUACCGCAUACGACCUACGGGUGAAAGCAGGGGAUCUUCGGACCUUGCGCGAUUGAAUGAGCCGAUGUCGGAUUAGCUAGUUGGCGGGGUAAAGGCCCACCAAGGCGACGAUCCGUAGCUGGUCUGAGAGGAUGAUCAGCCACACUGGAACUGAGACACGGUCCAGACUCCUACGGGAGGCAGCAGUGGGGAAUAUUGGACAAUGGGCGCAAGCCUGAUCCAGCCAUACCGCGUGGGUGAAGAAGGCCUUCGGGUUGUAAAGCCCUUUUGUUGGGAAAGAAAAGCAGCAGGUUAAUACCCCGCUGUUCUGACGGUACCCAAAGAAUAAGCACCGGCUAACUUCGUG